AACGAACGCUGGCGGCAGGCCUAACACAUGCAAGUCGAACGCCGUAGCAAUACGGAGUGGCAGACGGGUGAGUAACGCGUGGGAACAUACCCCUCGGUUCGGAAUAACUUAGGGAAACUUGAGCUAAUACCGGAUACGUCCGAGGUUUUAACCGGCCUCGGAGAAAGAUUUAUCGCCGGAGGAUUGGCCCGCGUCUGAUUAGCUUGUUGGUGAGGUAAUGGCUCACCAAGGCGACGAUCAGUAGCUGGUCUGAGAGGAUGAUCAGCCACAUUGGGACUGAGACACGGCCCAAACUCCUACGGGAGGCAGCAGUGGGGAAUAUUGGACAAUGGGCGAAAGCCUGAUCCAGCCAUGCCGCGUGAGUGAUGAA
This 370-nucleotide ribosomal RNA is filed under the name uncultured bacterium. Its description in RNAcentral is "bacterial SSU rRNA". It matches the Rfam family "Bacterial small subunit ribosomal RNA", at positions 29 to 412 of the family's 1533-position model. The record is from RNAcentral.